Choloepus didactylus (southern two-toed sloth) is the source of this 401-nucleotide long non-coding RNA. RefSeq lists it as uncharacterized. The transcript is spliced from 3 exons. The record is from RefSeq and is a predicted model, not a curated record. Lineage: Eukaryota; Metazoa; Chordata; Mammalia; Pilosa; Megalonychidae.
CUGGCAAAGCAGAGCUGUGGUUUGCAGAGUCCCAGACCUGGCAUCCUCAGCCAGGGAAUGGAAGGACAUGUUUGGAGCUGGGAGACAAUAGCUCAGUAUUUGGUACAGAGUCAUAGAAAAAUAAGCACUGCCACAUGGCUGGAAUGCAGAUGGAAUCUUUACAAGGACCAGAGACCCUCUCUGUGAUGCUCUACCUGCCCGGAGGUGUGAGUGGUGCACUCCCAUGGCUGUCCCAUCUAGUCACCCUACUGGAGAGACCACGUGAAGAGCCCAUGUGGUGAGGAGAGGUCCUGAGACUGUGUGCAGCAAGAGAGAGGCCCAGCCAUCUCCAUAUCCCGGUUGAGCUUCCAGAUGACUCCAGUCCCAGCCACCAUCCAACUGAAACCCCCAGAGGAUGAACC